CGCGGGGUGGAGCAGUCUGGUAGCUCGUCGGGCUCAUAACCCGAAGGUCGUUGGUUCGAAUCCGGCCCCCGCAA
Molecule: transfer RNA, 74 nt
Organism: Oleispira antarctica
Lineage: Bacteria; Pseudomonadati; Pseudomonadota; Gammaproteobacteria; Oceanospirillales; Oceanospirillaceae
Rfam family: tRNA
About the family: Transfer RNA (tRNA) molecules are approximately 80 nucleotides in length. Their secondary structure includes four short double-helical elements and three loops (D, anti-codon, and T loops). Further hydrogen bonds mediate the characteristic L-shaped molecular structure. tRNAs have two regions of fundamental functional importance: the anti-codon, which is responsible for specific mRNA codon recognition, and the 3' end, to which the tRNAs corresponding amino acid is attached (by aminoacyl-tRNA synthetases). tRNAs cope with the degeneracy of the genetic code in two manners: having more than one tRNA (with a specific anti-codon) for a particular amino acid; and 'wobble' base-pairing, i.e. permitting non-standard base-pairing at the 3rd anti-codon position.
Source: Rfam